RNAcentral lists this transfer RNA (74 nucleotides) under Perkinsus chesapeaki. RNAcentral's name for it is "tRNA-Arg". Lineage: Eukaryota; Perkinsozoa; Perkinsida; Perkinsidae. The record is from RNAcentral.
GCCCUGCUGGCCCAAUGGAUAAGGAGCCACCCUCCUAAGGUGGAGAUUCCGAGUUCGAUCCUCGGGUAGAUGCC